UGGAGGGUGCAAGCGUUGUUCGGAAUUAUUGGGCGUAAAGCGCGUGUAGGCGGCUACCUAAGUCUGGUGUGAAAGCCCGGGGCUUAACCCCGGAAGUGCACUGGAUACUGGGUAGCUAGAGGACGGGAGAGGAGAGCGGAAUUCAUGGUGUAGGGGUGAAAUCCGUAGAUAUCAUGAGGAACAUCCGUGGCGAAGGCGGCUCUCUGGCCCGUAACUGACGCUGAGACGCGAAAGCGUGGGGAGCAAACAGGAUUAGAUACCCUGGUAGUCCACGCCCUAAACGAUGAAUACUAGUUGUCGGGAUUCCUAAUUGUCUCGGUGACGUAGCUAACGCAUUAAGUAUUCCGCCUGGGAAUUACGGUCGCAAGAUUA
RNAcentral lists this ribosomal RNA (372 nucleotides) under uncultured organism. RNAcentral describes it as "bacterial SSU rRNA". It matches the Rfam family "Bacterial small subunit ribosomal RNA", at positions 526 to 896 of the family's 1533-position model. The record is from RNAcentral.